This 151-nucleotide unclassified non-coding RNA is filed under the name soil metagenome. RNAcentral describes it as "partial contains small subunit ribosomal RNA, internal transcribed spacer 1, and 5.8S ribosomal RNA". The record is from RNAcentral.
UUUCCGUAGGUGAACCUGCGGAAGGAUCAUUAGUAUAUGACCAACGUCAGUUGGCAACCCUUUUUUUUUAAACUCCUGUUUUCUCUGAAAUCAGUCUGAACAUGUUUAUUAUUAAACGUUAAAACUUUCAACAACGGAUCUCUUGGUUCUC